GCCCUUGUAGUUCAAUGGAUAGAACGGCUCACUCCUAACGAGCAGAUGUAGGUUCGAUUCCUGCCAGGGGCACCC
RNAcentral lists this transfer RNA (75 nucleotides) under Candidatus Taylorbacteria bacterium CG10_big_fil_rev_8_21_14_0_10_41_48. RNAcentral describes it as "tRNA-Arg". It matches the Rfam family "tRNA". Rfam says of the family: Transfer RNA (tRNA) molecules are approximately 80 nucleotides in length. The record is from RNAcentral. Lineage: Bacteria; Candidatus Tayloriibacteriota.